This 556-nucleotide ribosomal RNA is filed under the name fungal sp. 8Ci42. RNAcentral describes it as "partial 28S ribosomal RNA". It matches the Rfam family "Eukaryotic large subunit ribosomal RNA", at positions 75 to 652 of the family's 3401-position model. The record is from RNAcentral. Lineage: Eukaryota; Fungi.
UUGCCCUAGUAACGGCGAGUGAAGCGGCAACAGCUCAAAUUUGAAAUCUGGCCCUCGGGCCCGAGUUGUAAUUUGCAGAGGAUGCUUUUGGCGAGGUGCCUUCCCGAGUUCCCUGGAACGGGACGCCUUAGAGGGUGAGAGCCCCGUACGGUUGGACACUAAGCCUCUGUAAAGCUCCUUCGACGAGUCGAGUAGUUUGGGAAUGCUGCUCUAAAUGGGAGGUAAAUUUCUUCUAAAGCUAAAUACCGGCCAGAGACCGAUAGCGCACAAGUAGAGUGAUCGAAAGAUGAAAAGCACUUUGAAAAGAGGGUUAAAUAGCACGUGAAAUUGUUGAAAGGGAAGCGUUUACGGCCAGACCUUUUCCUGGCGGAUCAUCUGGCGUUCUCGCCAGUGCACUCCGCCGGGUUUAGGCCAGCAUCGGCUUCUGUAGGGGGAUAAAAGCAGUGGGAAAGUAGCUCCCUCGGGAGUGUUAUAGCCCUAAGCAUAAUNNCNUUNNGGGGGCCGNGGNCCCCUCUUUUUACNUNAGAUGCGGGNGUAANGGUNGUCUACNUNCCCU